Molecule: ribosomal RNA, 253 nt
Filed under: uncultured bacterium
Lineage: Bacteria
Description: partial 16S ribosomal RNA
Rfam family: Bacterial small subunit ribosomal RNA
Source: RNAcentral
UACGAAGGGGGCUAGCGUUGCUCGGAAUCACUGGGCGUAAAGGGUGCGUAGGCGGGUCUUUAAGUCAGGGGUGAAAUCCUGGAGCUCAACUCCAGAACUGCCUUUGAUACUGAGGAUCUUGAGUUCGGGAGAGGUGAGUGGAACUGCGAGUGUAGAGGUGAAAUUCGUAGAUAUUCGCUAGAACACCAGUGGCGAAGGCGGCCAACUGGUCCGAUACUGACGCUGAGGUGCGAAAGCGUGGGGAGCAAACAGG